Molecule: long non-coding RNA, 1303 nt
Filed under: Monodelphis domestica (gray short-tailed opossum)
Lineage: Eukaryota; Metazoa; Chordata; Mammalia; Didelphimorphia; Didelphidae
Description: lncRNA (ENSMODG00000039376.1)
Source: RNAcentral
AUGUAUGUACCUAUCUAUGUGUGUAUCUGUUUAUUAAUCGAUCUUCAAUGUUUGUCAAUCCGUCUGUCCAUUGGUCUAUCCCUCUAUCUAACUUAUCAGUCACUCGAUCUUUCCCAUUCUCCUUCUCAGGUUUCCAUGCAAAAAUAUCGGAAUAAGUGGUUGUUGGCAAGCAAAGCAUGUGAUGGUGUCCCUGUGAUGUUCAGGUGGCUCAGAAGAUGUAUUUGGUUCAAGAUUGGAUGGGGGAGUGGCAGACCUCUACUUUGGCCAGUGAGGCUCCAUCAUUUCUUUCCUAACGUCUUCUGAUUCGACUUUGAGACAACCCAGCACUCUGGAAUCUUUGCUGUGACUUCUCCAAUGGACAGAUGUUCCGUUCCAUCCUCCUAACGAGGUAAAGUGCUCCUAUUUUCAACUUUCCUCCUUCAACUCAAAAUGGGGACUAAGUCUGUCCUUUCUAGGUUCUCUACUUAAUGGGCCUUGGCUCCAGGUAAAUAGAAUUCUCAGGGGAGAUCAAAUAACUAGUUUUCCCUCUGCUGUAGAAUUAUUUCUCAAGUCAAUGUAAAGGAUAGGAAACAAUCCUUCUCCAGAUUCCGUACGUUGGGGACUCCUUCGUAUAUCUCUUAAAGAUGUCACCUUGAGUAAUACUUCAGUUUCUGGGCUGCAGUAAAUUCUGGUCUAGGCUUUUGGCUCCUAUGAAACCUCUUCAGGCAAAUCUUCCCUUUCAUAGGUUUUUAUCUCUUCACCCCCAUACCAGAACUGGGGGAGGGAGGGGUAAAAUCCAGGGCAUUCAUAGAAAUGUCUUAGGAAUUUCCCAGGUCUCUUUCUCAAGCUGUCCUGUGCCAAAGAUCAUUAGAAAUAAUGCACACAAAACCAUCAGUUUUCUCCACUUCGAAAGGAAAUUAGUUCUCCUUAUUCCCUGGUCUUUUCAAACAAAAACUUAUCUAUUGAAAUGGUUGCACUCUGGAAAUUGACCUUCAAAAUGCCCCAAAUCAGGUUAUUGUAGAUGAAGCUUUUCCUUUCUCAAAAACUCAAACUGGUAACAUUUUCUCUCCAAAAACAAAACUUAGGGUUACUAAGGAAGAGGUUCAAAAUUUCCUCUAACUAGUAACAUCUCUACUAUUCCCUUCCCUUUUUUCAUUUUUUACUCUCUAAUUUCCUUUGGGCUGCCAAUUUGCCUUUCUCUUCUCCUUGCCUCAAAGCACUUUGGCCUAUGGCUAAAGCUGCUCUUAGAGAGGAAAUUUGUGGUUCAUAUAAAAAAUGUUCAGGGUUUCCUCAUGAUUAAAAGCAAAGCAUUCCCCACCGUAUU